This 69-nucleotide transfer RNA is filed under the name marine eukaryotic metagenome. It matches the Rfam family "tRNA". From Rfam's summary of the family: Transfer RNA (tRNA) molecules are approximately 80 nucleotides in length. Their secondary structure includes four short double-helical elements and three loops (D, anti-codon, and T loops). The record is from RNAcentral.
GAGAAUAGCUCAACUGGUAGAGCACCGGUCUCCAAAACCGUAGGCUGGGGGUUCGAGUCCCUCUUCUCC